Cyprinus carpio carpio is the source of this 1542-nucleotide long non-coding RNA. The record is from Ensembl. Lineage: Eukaryota; Metazoa; Chordata; Actinopteri; Cypriniformes; Cyprinidae.
GGCAUAAUUGGCUAAUUCAGAGUCCAGUGGGGUGGAAAUGACCCCUGAGUCCUAGAGGCUUUCCAGACACAUUAGCACACACAACAGCCGUCCAAACACACCCUGUGCCUGUACAUUCAUUCCAGCCACUUCAGGUUUCGCUGUACACACACGUGCAGUGUUCCCACAGGUGCAGCAGUAUAGUGGCAGGUUUCAGUGAGCGAUAAUGUGUUCAGGGACUGCAUGUUAACACACUAUUUGCAUUAGGACAGUGUGGGUCCCCAGCUGGGCAGCAGUGAGAGUCCCCAGCAGUAAGAGAGCUUUACCUGUGUGUUUGGCAUAAUCCCAGAUUUACCAUGGCAGGUGAGACUAGUUAAUGCAGUCAUAUGUAUUAACUGUGUGUGUGUGUGCAUACAAAGACAUUUUUGUGUUGUUUUCUGGUUCACUUCUGUUUCCACAUAGAUAUCAUUCAAAUCCAGUGUGUCCCAUAUUCUUAGUGUUCACUACUACAAAUAAUGACAAAAUAUGUCUUACACAAAUACAAACACACAAAUAGAGCUUGCACAGCCAAACCUCAGUCACUCAAAUGUUUAUAAAUGGCAAUAUUAAAGAGCAGGCAAAAGCACGCACAUCAGUCUCAACUGACUAAGAAACAAGUGGAAAAAGUUUUAGAAUAAUACUUUUUUUUUUUUUUUGGAGCUUUGGUGUUGCCGACUUUACAUUUAAAUAAAUGCCAGUAUUAGCCAUCAUGUUAAAGUUUGUUGUCUUUUUCUGACAGUAAUACGUGUUGGUUGUUAUUUACUGUAUGAAGGCACUCCACUUUUGGCAUGAUAAAAUGUGACUAUCAUCCCUACAGUAAUGUACUUUAUAAUGAGUAAUGCACAGAUUACCACACAACACACACACAUCAAGAAGAGCCAAAUGGCAAAACAGAUGAAUCAUAUGCAUUAGAAAAUAUCUUCAUUACUUGUUAAAAUUCAUAAAACAAAUUAUUGAAACUUGUUCCACGCUCUAAAGAUGUUUAAAUGCAUAGCUGAUAUAACCUAUGAAGAAGUUGUGUUCAAAGGUGUCUUAUCACAAUAAGUCUCAGUGUGUAUUAAUUCAUUAUAUCAUCCUGUAAAUAAUUUAAAGCAUGUCUAAUUACACUACUUAGGUCAAAGAAAUAGAAACACAGGCACACACUGACUCAUUUGUCUAGGGUAUUGACGUGUUGUCCAAUUAAAAAGAAGAAGGAAAAACAGGAAUUACAAGGAAGACUUCCUCUGAGCUUGUGUGUGUGGGCCCUGCAUUGCCCUCAGCCACUCAGUAAGGACUCCCGAUAAGGAGAAUUAGUCAAAACUUGGGAGCUGCCAGUGUGUGCCAAUUAAACUUUAAUCUGGGGCUGAAACAGGCACAAAUAAAUUAAAGCCUUGUGCGAGGCAAUGUGCUCUCCCCUGAUAAUACCGGUUUGAAGCGUCUGCCGGCUGCUCCGUGCUUAGUACUGUCACCAUUUCCAAUAUGGGAAAAAAAUCAUGGCAAGCCAGUUGGAGAGUAGAGCAAAGCGACUUGUAAAGUCACGCUCGC